CAUCGUCUCCAUUCACCCAUUGCGAAACAGCUCCAGUCUCCACAAUCCACCGCCAAGAGCAGCUAGUUCGUCGCGCUAUGAGGACAACAUUUAGAUUGAAAGUGAAGCAACAAAAUGCCGUUCUUUAGAACUCGUCCUCGGUAUGGAAUCAAACAUGCACAGAGUUGUCAUUAGGGUUUUCCUUAUCUGCGGGUCGUGGAAGUCUCCCUUUCUAGGAUUUUUGAGGAAGCCACUUGCUAGGAACUGAGCAUAGCAAUCUUAAAUGAUAGGAAGAAGCUAAGCUGCAUGAAUCACAAGUAAAACCAUCUGUUGCUGCUGAAGAUGUUCUUCUGAUCAGGGAGGGGAAUAUAGACAAUUAUUUGUCAGUGGCUUGAAUAACUCAAAAGAAGAAGAGGUUUCACUCCUUAAAAAUAUUCACUGGAAAGAGUUGUCAUUGUUGGUAUAUGUUUGGCUAGGAUUCCUUCUAGUUCAGAUAGUCAAGGUAAUUAAAUAAUCUACCUUUUUCAACAUCUUAUUAAAUAUUUCAUCAACUAA
Long non-coding RNA from Impatiens glandulifera, 534 nucleotides. RefSeq lists it as uncharacterized. Lineage: Eukaryota; Viridiplantae; Streptophyta; Magnoliopsida; Ericales; Balsaminaceae. The transcript is spliced from 5 exons. The record is from RefSeq and is a predicted model, not a curated record.